This 62-nucleotide transfer RNA is filed under the name Hypoderma lineatum (early cattle grub). RNAcentral describes it as "tRNA-Arg". Lineage: Eukaryota; Metazoa; Arthropoda; Insecta; Diptera; Oestridae. The record is from RNAcentral.
AAAUAUGAAGCGAUUUAUUGCAAUUAGUUUCGACCUAAUCUUAGGUAUAUUACCCUUAUUUA